RNAcentral lists this ribosomal RNA (714 nucleotides) under Vibrio neocaledonicus. Its description in RNAcentral is "bacterial SSU rRNA". It matches the Rfam family "Bacterial small subunit ribosomal RNA", at positions 34 to 731 of the family's 1533-position model. Lineage: Bacteria; Pseudomonadati; Pseudomonadota; Gammaproteobacteria; Vibrionales; Vibrionaceae. The record is from RNAcentral.
CCUUUGCGGCGGCCUACCAUGCAAGUCGAGCGGAAACGAGUUAUCUGAACCUUCGGGGAACGAUAACGGCGUCGAGCGGCGGACGGGUGAGUAAUGCCUAGGAAAUUGCCCUGAUGUGGGGGAUAACCAUUGGAAACGAUGGCUAAUACCGCAUGAUGCCUACGGGCCAAAGAGGGGGACCUUCGGGCCUCUCGCGUCAGGAUAUGCCUAGGUGGGAUUAGCUAGUUGGUGAGGUAAGGGCUCACCAAGGCAACGAUCCCUAGCUGGUCUGAGAGGAUGAUCAGCCACACUGGAACUGAGACACGGUCCAGACUCCUACGGGAGGCAGCAGUGGGGAAUAUUGCACAAUGGGCGCAAGCCUGAUGCAGCCAUGCCGCGUGUAUGAAGAAGGCCUUCGGGUUGUAAAGUACUUUCAGUCGUGAGGAAGGCGGCGGCGUUAAUAGCGGCGUUGUUUGACGUUAGCGACAGAAGAAGCACCGGCUAACUCCGUGCCAGCAGCCGCGGUAAUACGGAGGGUGCGAGCGUUAAUCGGAAUUACUGGGCGUAAAGCGCAUGCAGGUGGUUUGUUAAGUCAGAUGUGAAAGCCCGGGGCUCAACCUCGGAAUAGCAUUUGAAACUGGCAGACUAGAGUACUGUAGAGGGGGGUAGAAUUUCAGGUGUAGCGGUGAAAUGCGUAGAGAUCUGAAGGAAUACCGGUGGCGAGGCGUCCCCCUG